Molecule: transfer RNA, 85 nt
Filed under: Felis catus (domestic cat)
Lineage: Eukaryota; Metazoa; Chordata; Mammalia; Carnivora; Felidae
Also listed under: 1 other name
Rfam family: tRNA
About the family: Transfer RNA (tRNA) molecules are approximately 80 nucleotides in length.
Source: Rfam by way of RNAcentral
GCCUGGGUGGCUUAGUCAGUUAAGCGUCUGACUUCAGCUCAGGUUAUAAUCUCGCAGUUCUUGAGUUCGAGCCUCACGUUGGGCU